GGCUACGUAGCUCAUCUGGUUAGAGCACAGCAUUCAUAAUGCUGGGGUCGGUGGUUCAAGUCCACCCGUAGCUACCA
RNAcentral lists this transfer RNA (77 nucleotides) under Cellvibrionales bacterium UBA2618. RNAcentral's name for it is "tRNA-Met(cat)". It matches the Rfam family "tRNA". From Rfam's summary of the family: Transfer RNA (tRNA) molecules are approximately 80 nucleotides in length. Their secondary structure includes four short double-helical elements and three loops (D, anti-codon, and T loops). Further hydrogen bonds mediate the characteristic L-shaped molecular structure. tRNAs have two regions of fundamental functional importance: the anti-codon, which is responsible for specific mRNA codon recognition, and the 3' end, to which the tRNAs corresponding amino acid is attached (by aminoacyl-tRNA synthetases). tRNAs cope with the degeneracy of the genetic code in two manners: having more than one tRNA (with a specific anti-codon) for a particular amino acid; and 'wobble' base-pairing, i.e. permitting non-standard base-pairing at the 3rd anti-codon position. The record is from RNAcentral. Lineage: Bacteria; Pseudomonadati; Pseudomonadota; Gammaproteobacteria; Cellvibrionales.